GAUGAAGAACGCAGCGAAAUGCGAUACUUGGUGUGAAUUGCAGAAUCCCGUGAACCAUCGAGUCUUUGAACGCAAGUUGCGCCCGAAGCCAUUAGUCCGAGGGCACGCCUGCCUGGGCGUCACACGUCGUUGCCCCCCCAUCUACUCCUUCGGGAUUGCGGGGGGCGGAUGAUGGCCUCUCGUGCGCCUCGUCGCGCGGUUGGCCUAAAUGCCAAGUCCUCGGCGACGCACGCCACGACAAUCGGUGGUUGCGAAACCUCGGUUGCCUGUCGUGUGCGGUCGUCGCGCAUCGAGGGCUCGAAAAAAUUGCCGGGCUUCGGCUCGACUUUCAACGCGACCCCAGGUCAGGCGGGGUUACCCGCUGAAUUUAAGCAUAUCAAUAAGCGGAGGA
This 391-nucleotide unclassified non-coding RNA is filed under the name soil metagenome. RNAcentral describes it as "partial contains 5.8S ribosomal RNA, internal transcribed spacer 2, and large subunit ribosomal RNA". The stretch from base 1 to 122 matches the Rfam family "5.8S ribosomal RNA", at positions 35 to 154 of the family's 154-position model. The record is from RNAcentral.